RNAcentral lists this long non-coding RNA (492 nucleotides) under Limulus polyphemus (Atlantic horseshoe crab). Its description in RNAcentral is "uncharacterized LOC111088574, transcript variant X2". Lineage: Eukaryota; Metazoa; Arthropoda; Merostomata; Xiphosura; Limulidae. The record is from RNAcentral.
UUAUCUCUUAUGAAAUUGUUAAUCUCACUCUAACAUAUCAACUGUUAGGUCAUUCACCCCCACGACGAUUAAUUUUGCGUUUAACUUUACUCUGAACGAACUUUUCCUUCUGGUGACUUUUUUUUUCUUUAUUAAUCCACCCUCGUAGAGGGGGUAUAAACAAACAUACAUCAGUGAUUCGACAUAACUCAUGACAAUGUCGAUACAAAUUUGGAUAAGAAGAAAAAAAUAGUCUAACUGCAAGUUUUGAUAAAGAUAUAAAGGUGAAGCUGUGAUGUCACCAUGGAUGUAUCAAAGAUGAAAGUUGAACCCUUUUCUGAAAAUGAACAGGAUGAUUUGGUGGAUAUCAAAUUGAUGAAAAAUGAAGAUGAAACUCCUACAUUUUCUAGUAUAGAAGCUGAUUCCUUACAACAAAGAUCUUUACAUACCAUUUUGAAGUUUGGUGUAGUGAAAGAGGAACAAGAAGAGAACUGUGAUGAAGGAACAGAAAAA